RNAcentral lists this microRNA precursor (61 nucleotides) under Mus musculus (house mouse). RNAcentral describes it as "Mmu-Mir-155_pre stem-loop". It matches the Rfam family "mir-155 microRNA precursor family". The record is from RNAcentral. Lineage: Eukaryota; Metazoa; Chordata; Mammalia; Rodentia; Muridae. RNAcentral also lists the same sequence under 1 other name.
UUAAUGCUAAUUGUGAUAGGGGUUUUGGCCUCUGACUGACUCCUACCUGUUAGCAUUAACA